CCCUCACAGGCACUCUCGGCUUUUAUUGUUUACUCUGGCAGGAAAGAGCCUAGUGAAUCUGGUCAGUUUGGGGGCCUUUCUGGAUACAUUUGAGUUGUUUACCUUCCUGCUUUAGGAGCUUCCCUGCGGGAUGGAAUAUUUCAGUCUCAGAGGAAACUGUUGUACAACAGAGGGUUGGACUCAGAAGUGGUAGAUUUCCUGCACCAGCUGCGUGGGUCGCAGCAAGUGGAUGUCACCACUGAGACCUGGAAAGAGGGGUAAGCAAACGAGGCUCACUUUAAAAGGAAGGGUGGAGGAUUGAAACAUUGGUAUGUACCAUGGGCUAUUCUACUGCAAAAGAUCAGUUGGCCACUGAGGAACAGGAAGUAAGUUAAGUAAGCAAAGAACAGGAAUUAAGUAAGCAAGGAACAGGAAUUAAGUCUAGCCCCGCACUCACAUUUGUGGACACCAUAGCUGAAGCAAGUCCUUGAUUUCUGACGGGAGGAGGUCUGAAUAUUACAAGUAAAGAGAGAUUUACAAAAGAUGUUGCAAGAGAAGGGCGCAGAUAAAUUUCCUACAGCUGCAUUUUCUCUAUGGAGACUUGUGAAAGAUGCUCUUCUGAAAGUGAAAGUGAAAGAGCAACUUUCAGAGUGGGAGCAAGCAUUUGCUAAUGCUUAGGAGGCAGAGAGGAAUGAAUCUUUGAAAGGGGAAAAGGAAGAGGUGGAGGAUAUUUGUGAAAGAUUUCAUGGAUGAGAAAGAAGAUGAUGAUCUUGCCUCUGUCUCAGAUUUAGUAGAGGGGGAAGAGCAGCUA
This is a non-coding RNA of Peromyscus maniculatus bairdii (prairie deer mouse), 790 nucleotides long. NCBI's taxonomy places the organism in Eukaryota, Metazoa, Chordata, Mammalia, Rodentia, Cricetidae. The record is from RefSeq and is a predicted model, not a curated record.